AGCUCAGGAGAAGACAAUGCCACUUUCAGAAGGGCACACAUCACCGAUGUCAGCGAGACUCACUCGACACAGGGAGACAAGGCUGCCUGCAGACCACUGCACAGGGAUGCUGCAAACAACAGUCUUUACAAGAAUUCACGAUUUGUUCCUACUUUUAGAGGCGCAUUCAGCAUUUUGAAUGGUGGUGUUCCCAUCACCACAAUCGUGAAAGAGAAGAGUCAGUGAAGCCACUAAAGGUUCACAGUGACCCCGAAAGAGACAGACGUUGCAGAACUUCAAGAGUUAAAGACCAGGCCAAGUGUAAAGAUACAUCAGACGGCCUCCUGAGAGGUGUGGAGGGAAGGCGCUCUUUCCCAGCAGGUCACUUUGUUUACUACUUACAUAUAAUUGUUGACAGCUCAUCACGAAUCGAUCUGACUUAAAUACUUCCCGGAACAAGGUAAAAUACAUGAGUUGAAAAGAAAAUGCAUGAAUGUAGUCCAUCUUGCUGGACCAGAGAGAAAUGUGUGUGACAGUGCAAAUGAGAUGUUCACCCAUGACCACACCAGCAGGCGAUGCAGAAACACUAAAAGAUUUCCACUCUUCACAACUCUACCCUGCAGUCCAUGGCGAUGACCUAGAACAUUUAGCAGCGUUCCAACCUCAUUCAACACACACGCAGGCCCUUUGCCUCUGCAUUGUCUUGUCCCUGAAAAGUAGAAAUGUGGGUUGGGGUUACUUUGACUCAGAUGGGGGUUGGGGGGAAGCCUGCCAGAGAGAGGAGAAGAGUCGGGUAUCAUAAGCAUUUGGGGAAGAAGAGGGGAUAUCCUGUAGCUGGUCCCGGCUCCCUUCCACGGGGCAAGGGAUAGGUUUCUGUUUACAGAGGGAAACAUUUAAUCAAGACCGCAUUCUUCAAAACCCACAUGUAUUUCUUAUCACAUCCACCCAAGCAAUCUGGGGUCCCACACAAACGUGCAGUGGCUUCUGGAGAGGAAGUUUUGGUGAAUAUUUUAGAAACAAUAACAACAACAAGAACAAAAACACAACCGACUGGCACAGUCUGAAUCUCAACGAUCUCAAGAUUCUUCUUCAUUUUGAGACCUUCCGAAACAAUACGAACAUUCUAUUUGGUAAGUCAAUAAGAAAACUCACUGACACAAUAAUGCUCUGUCUUUCUCAAGUUGGGGUGCCGACAUAAUGGAGAAAGUCCCUGCUCUGAAUGUCUCCAACCAUAUGAAGUUUAAAAAGCAUGCAGCUGGGGGUCGAUGUUGGGUGAACACCCAGGAUUACGGGACAGACGUGAACCUCCGCCUGGCUGGACGCUUACAGGUUUCCCUUCAUCCCCUGAAGAACUGCUAAAACCAGCAAUUAGGAACCGUAAACACCAGUACUUUGCCUUGAGGGAAAUUGGGACUUCAAGAUAAAAUAUCUAAGAGAUUUGAAAUCUGUCGUUAAACACAGCCUUGGUCUUAAAUGUUCAUAAUCCUUUCCCUGCCCUUGACUUUCUGCAAUAACUUCUUUCUGAAUUUCUCUGUCUCUGUUUACCAGUUUACUUUCUUAGGGAAUAACCUCCAUAAGCUACCAAAUGAUGAACUGUUUUUCAUUCAUGUGUUGUUUUUCCAGCCCCCUUAAUUGGAAUAAAUGAACAUAUGACUUGACUUUUAACCUACUUUUCC
Molecule: long non-coding RNA, 1655 nt
Organism: Lagenorhynchus albirostris (white-beaked dolphin)
Lineage: Eukaryota; Metazoa; Chordata; Mammalia; Artiodactyla; Delphinidae
Exons: 3
Source: RefSeq, a predicted model, not a curated record